UCGAGAAGCUUCGGCAAUGGGCGAAAGCCUGACCGAGCGACGCCGCGUGAGCGAAGAAGGCCCUAUGGGUUGUAAAGCUCUGUCAGAUUGGGAAGAAAGCUCCGGGAUUAAUACCCCCGGAGUGUGACGGUACCAUCAGAGGAAGCACCGGCUAACUCCGUGCCAGCAGCCGCGGUAAUACGGAGGGUGCUAGCGUUGUUCGGAUUCACUGGGUAUAAAGGGUGCGCAGGCGGCCUUGUAAGUCAGAGGUGAAAUAUGUCGGCUCAACCGCAAACUGCCUCUGAGACUGCUAGGCUUGAGUCCGGGAGAGGAAGGUGGAAUUCCUGGUGUAGCGGUGAAAUGCGUAAAUAUCAGGAGGAACACCGGUGGCGAAGGCGGCCUUCUGGCCCGGUACUGACGCUCAUGCACGAAAGCCAGGGGAGCGAACGGGAUUAGAUACCCCGGUAGUCCUGGCCGUAAACGAUGGGCACGUAGGUGUUGGAGGAGUCUACCCCUUCAGUGCCG
Molecule: ribosomal RNA, 504 nt
Filed under: uncultured Latescibacterota bacterium
Lineage: Bacteria; Pseudomonadati; Candidatus Latescibacterota
Description: bacterial SSU rRNA
Rfam family: Bacterial small subunit ribosomal RNA
Source: RNAcentral